RNAcentral lists this transfer RNA (70 nucleotides) under Garrulax cineraceus (moustached laughingthrush). RNAcentral's name for it is "tRNA-Pro". It matches the Rfam family "tRNA". Rfam says of the family: Transfer RNA (tRNA) molecules are approximately 80 nucleotides in length. Their secondary structure includes four short double-helical elements and three loops (D, anti-codon, and T loops). Further hydrogen bonds mediate the characteristic L-shaped molecular structure. tRNAs have two regions of fundamental functional importance: the anti-codon, which is responsible for specific mRNA codon recognition, and the 3' end, to which the tRNAs corresponding amino acid is attached (by aminoacyl-tRNA synthetases). tRNAs cope with the degeneracy of the genetic code in two manners: having more than one tRNA (with a specific anti-codon) for a particular amino acid; and 'wobble' base-pairing, i.e. permitting non-standard base-pairing at the 3rd anti-codon position. The record is from RNAcentral. Lineage: Eukaryota; Metazoa; Chordata; Aves; Passeriformes; Leiothrichidae.
CAGAGAGUAGUUUAAUUGAAAACGCCAGCUUUGGGAGUUGGUGAUGAGGGUUGAAUUCCUUUCUCUUUGA